UGACUUUCCGUGCAUGGAAAGUGGUUUUGACGAUAAGAAUGAUGCUGAUGAGGCUGCCAGCAGAGGAACACCAUUUCAGAGCUUUUUUCUCAGGGAAUCAAGGCAAAAAGAAGGCAAGAAAGAAAUCAGAAGCAAUGAUGACCUGCUUUGAACUGGAAGGAAAACGGCUGGGGGAGGAGUUGUACCAUCUAUGAGGUGCAUAUCAUGGUAUCAAAAACACAGCUUUGAUGGGCGCGGUGGCUCACGCCUGUAAUCCCAGCACACUGGGAGGCCGAGGC
Molecule: long non-coding RNA, 278 nt
Organism: Cercocebus atys (sooty mangabey)
Lineage: Eukaryota; Metazoa; Chordata; Mammalia; Primates; Cercopithecidae
Exons: 3
Source: RefSeq, a predicted model, not a curated record